GCCUUCUUGGCUCAGUUGGCUAGAGCGCAGGUCUCAUAGUAAUAUGACGUAAUAUCAGUUACGUAAUCCUGAGGUCGCAAGUUCGAGCCUUGCAGAGGGCA
Molecule: non-coding RNA, 101 nt
Organism: Blastosporella zonata
Lineage: Eukaryota; Fungi; Basidiomycota; Agaricomycetes; Agaricales; Lyophyllaceae
Source: the annotation of a GenBank genome assembly